UACGUAGGGGGCAAGCGUUGUCCGGAUUUAUUGGGCGUAAAGGGUGCGUAGGUGGCCGGGUAAGUCUGGUGUGAAAUCUCCGAGCUCAACUCGGAAACUGCAUUGGAUACUAUCCGGCUAGAGGAUCGGAGGGGAGACUGGAAUACUUGGUGUAGCAGUGAAAUGCGUAGAUAUCAAGUGGAACACCAGUGGCGAAGGCGAGUCUCUGGACGAUUCCUGACGCUGAGGCACGAAAGCUAGGGGAGCAAACAGG
This 253-nucleotide ribosomal RNA is filed under the name uncultured bacterium. RNAcentral's name for it is "partial 16S ribosomal RNA". It matches the Rfam family "Bacterial small subunit ribosomal RNA", at positions 524 to 776 of the family's 1533-position model. The record is from RNAcentral.